AUUGAACGCUGGCGGCAGGCUUAACACAUGCAAGUCGAGCGGGGUGAUGGUGCUUGCACUAUCACUUAGCGGCGGACGGGUGAGUAAUGCUUAGGAAUCUGCCUAUUAGUGGGGGACAACAUCUCGAAAGGGAUGCUAAUACCGCAUACGUCCUACGGGAGAAAGCAGGGGAUCACUUGCGACCUUGCGCUAAUAGAUGAGCCUAAGUCGGAUUAGCUAGUUGGUGGGGUAAAGGCCUACCAAGGCGACGAUCUGUAGCGGGUCUGAGAGGAUGAUCCGCCACACUGGGACUGAGACGCGGCCCAGACUCCUACGGGAGGCAGCAGUGGGGAAUAUUGGACAAUGGGGGGAACCCUGAUCCAGCCAUGCCGCGUGUGUGAAGAAGGCCUUAUGGUUGUAAAGCACUUUAAGCGAGGAGGAGGCUCUUUUGGUUAAUACCCAAGAUGAGUGGACGUUACUCGCAGAAUAAGCACCGGCUAACUCUGUGCCAGCAGCCGCAGUAA
This 503-nucleotide ribosomal RNA is filed under the name uncultured bacterium. RNAcentral's name for it is "partial 16S ribosomal RNA". It matches the Rfam family "Bacterial small subunit ribosomal RNA", at positions 30 to 523 of the family's 1533-position model. The record is from RNAcentral.